UACUCUCACUGCACCACUCGGAGUAUUUAUAUCACUGUAUCUGAGUGUGAAUCACAGCAGCAGAUGAUCGGAAAGAGAAUUAUCGGUAUACAGUUUCAAGGACAACAACAACAACAUUUAUUUAUAUAGCACAUUUUCAUACAAAAAGUAGCUCAAAGUGCUUUACAUAUUGAAGAAAAGAAAAAUAAAAGACAAAAUAAGAAAUUAAAAUAAGACAACAUCAGUUAACAUAGAAAAGGAGUAAGGUCCGAUGGCCAGGGUGGACAGAAAAAACAAAAAAAAACUCCAUAAAGCUGGAGAAAAAAAUAAAA
Long non-coding RNA from Erpetoichthys calabaricus (reedfish), 311 nucleotides. RefSeq lists it as uncharacterized. The record is from RefSeq and is a predicted model, not a curated record. The transcript is spliced from 2 exons. Lineage: Eukaryota; Metazoa; Chordata; Cladistia; Polypteriformes; Polypteridae.